UGGGGAAUAUUGCACAAUGGGGGAAACCCUGAUGCAGCGACGCCGCGUGAGCGAAGAAGGCCUUCGGGUCGUAAAGCUCUUUUAUGAGGGAAGAUAAUGACGGUACCUCAAGAAAAAGCCCCGGCUAACUACGUGCCAGCAGCCGCGGUAAUACGUAGGGGGCUAGCGUUGUACGGAAUCACUGGGCGUAAAGGGUUCGCAGGCGGAAUAACAAGUCAGAUGUGAAAGGCAUGGGCUCAACCCAUGUAAGCAUUUGAAACUGUAAUUCUUGAGAAGUGGAGAGGUAAGUGGAAUUCCUAGUGUAGCGGUGAAAUGCGUAGAUAUUAGGAGGAAUACCUGUGGCGAAGGCGACUUACUGGACACAAAUCUGACGCUGAGGAACGAAAGCGUGGGUAGCAAACAGG
RNAcentral lists this ribosomal RNA (404 nucleotides) under Verrucomicrobiota bacterium. RNAcentral's name for it is "Verrucomicrobia bacterium partial 16S ribosomal RNA". It matches the Rfam family "Bacterial small subunit ribosomal RNA", at positions 355 to 776 of the family's 1533-position model. The record is from RNAcentral. Lineage: Bacteria; Pseudomonadati; Verrucomicrobiota.